RNAcentral lists this ribosomal RNA (391 nucleotides) under uncultured bacterium. RNAcentral describes it as "partial 16S ribosomal RNA". It matches the Rfam family "Bacterial small subunit ribosomal RNA", at positions 524 to 918 of the family's 1533-position model. The record is from RNAcentral.
CACGUAGGGGCCUGACGUUGUUCGGAAUCAUUGGGCGUAAAGGGCGCGCAGGCGGCCGUCCAAGUCCGGUGUUAAAUGGUCGGGCUCAACCCGAUCAUGCGCUGGAAACUGGGCGGCUGGAGUCCCGGAGGGGAUGCCGGAAUUCCAGGUGUAGGGGUGAAAUCUGUAGAUAUCUGGAAGAACACCGAUGGCGAAGGCAGGCAUCUGGCCGGAGACUGACGCUGAGGCGCGAAGGCGCGGGGAGCGAACAGGUUUAGAUACCCUGGUAGUCCGCGCAGUAAACGAUGCGCACCAGGUGUCGGGCGGCAGCGCCCGGUACCGGAGCAAACGCGAUGAGUGCGCCGCCUGGGGAGUAUGCCCGCAAGGGUGAAACUCAAAGGAAUUGACGGGG